Molecule: ribosomal RNA, 409 nt
Filed under: uncultured bacterium
Lineage: Bacteria
Description: bacterial SSU rRNA
Rfam family: Bacterial small subunit ribosomal RNA
Source: RNAcentral
UGGGGAAUAUUGCACAAUGGGCGAAAGCCUGAUGCAGCGACGCCGCGUGAGGGAUGACGGCCUUCGGGUUGUAAACCUCUUUCGCCCGGGACGAAGCGAGAGUGACGGUACCGGGAGAAGAAGCACCGGCUAACUACGUGCCAGCAGCCGCGGUAAUACGUAGGGUGCGAGCGUUGUCCGGAAUUAUUGGGCGUAAAGAGCUCGUAGGCGGUUUGUCGCGUCGACUGUGAAAACUGGGGGCUUAACUCUCAGCUUGCAGUCGAUACGGGCAGACUUGAGUUCGGUAGGGGAGACUGGAAUUCCUGGUGUAGCGGUGAAAUGCGCAGAUAUCAGGAGGAACACCGGUGGCGAAGGCGGGUCUCUGGGCCGAUACUGACGCUGAGGAGCGAAAGCGUGGGGAGCGAACAGG